UNGCAUAUGGCCAGAACUUUGAGGAUGUA
Molecule: non-coding RNA, 29 nt
Filed under: Mus musculus (house mouse)
Lineage: Eukaryota; Metazoa; Chordata; Mammalia; Rodentia; Muridae
Source: RNAcentral